This 846-nucleotide ribosomal RNA is filed under the name Microbispora sp. RM572. RNAcentral describes it as "bacterial SSU rRNA". It matches the Rfam family "Bacterial small subunit ribosomal RNA", at positions 55 to 921 of the family's 1533-position model. Lineage: Bacteria; Bacillati; Actinomycetota; Actinomycetes; Streptosporangiales; Streptosporangiaceae. The record is from RNAcentral.
CUGCAAGUCGAGCGGAAGGCCCUUCGGGGUACUCGAGCGGCGAACGGGUGAGUAACACGUGAGUAACCUGCCCCUGACUCUGGGAUAAGCCUGGGAAACCGGGUCUAAUACCGGAUAUGACACUCCUCCGCAUGGUGUGGGUGUGGAAAGUUUUUUCGGUUGGGGAUGGACUCGCGGCCUAUCAGCUUGUUGGUGGGGUGAUGGCCUACCAAGGCGACGACGGGUAGCCGGCCUGAGAGGGCGACCGGCCACACUGGGACUGAGACACGGCCCAGACUCCUACGGGAGGCAGCAGUGGGGAAUAUUGCGCAAUGGGCGAAAGCCUGACGCAGCGACGCCGCGUGGGGGAUGACGGCCUUCGGGUUGUAAACCUCUUUCAGCAGGGACGAAGUUGACGUGUACCUGUAGAAGAAGCGCCGGCUAACUACGUGCCAGCAGCCGCGGUAAUACGUAGGGCGCGAGCGUUGUCCGGAAUUAUUGGGCGUAAAGAGCUCGUAGGUGGCUUGUUGCGUCUGCCGUGAAAGCCCGUGGCUUAACUACGGGUCUGCGGUGGAUACGGGCAGGCUAGAGGCUGGUAGGGGCAAGCGGAAUUCCUGGUGUAGCGGUGAAAUGCGCAGAUAUCAGGAGGAACACCGGUGGCGAAGGCGGCUUGCUGGGCCAGUUCUGACGCUGAGGAGCGAAAGCGUGGGGAGCGAACAGGAUUAGAUACCCUGGUAGUCCACGCUGUAAACGUUGGGCGCUAGGUGUGGGGGUCUUCCACGAUCUCUGUGCCGUAGCUAACGCAUUAAGCGCCCCGCCUGGGGAGUACGGCCGCAAGGCUAAAACUCAAAGGAAUUGACGGGGGCC